UGCUAUUCGAGAUGGGACUAAGGUAUGCUAGUCGAACGACCAGAACUAUGUCUGGAAGUGGCACACUGCUCAGUAACACGUAGCUAACCUACCCUUAGGACGUGGAUACCCCCGAGAAAUUGGGGUUAAUCCGCGAUAGAUGUAAUGUCCUGGAAUGGUAUUACGUCUAAAGGUAUUUCAUACAUGUUUGAAAUAUGCCUAAGGACGGGGCUGCGGCCGAUCAGGCUGUUGGUGAGGUAAUGGCUCACCAAACCUUUGACCGGUACGGGCCAUGAGAGUGGUAGCCCGGAGAUGGACACUGAGACAAGGGUCCAGGCCCUAAGGGGCGCAGCAACCGCGAAACCUCCACAAUGCACUCACGUGCGAUGGGGCUAUCUCGAGUGCCACCUGAUGAAGGUGGCUUUUCCUAGGUCUUCAAAGCCUUGGGAAUAAGAGGGGGGCAAGACUGGUGUCAGCCGCCGCGGUAACACCAGCCCCUCGAGUGGUGGGGAUGAUUAUUUGGCCUAAAGCGUCCGUAGCCGGCCGAGUAAGUCUUCCGUUAAAUCCAACGUCUCAAGCGUUGGACCGCGGGAGAUACUACACGGCUAGAGAGUGGGAGAGGUCAGCGGUAUUCUGGGGGUAAGGGCGAAAUCUUUUGAUCCCCGGAGGACCACCAGUGGCGAAGGCUGCUGACUAGAACACGUCUGACGGUCAGGGACGAAAGCUGGGGUAGCGAACCGGAUUAGAUACCCGGGUAGUCCCAGCCGUAAACGAUGCAUGCUAGGUGUUGGGUUGGCCACGAGCCACCCCAGUGCCGCAGGGAAGCCGUUAAGCAUGCCGCCUGGGAAGUACGAUCGCAAGAUUGAAACUUAAAGGAAUUGGCGGGGGA
RNAcentral lists this ribosomal RNA (868 nucleotides) under uncultured archaeon. RNAcentral describes it as "bacterial SSU rRNA". It matches the Rfam family "Archaeal small subunit ribosomal RNA", at positions 28 to 875 of the family's 1478-position model. The record is from RNAcentral.